This is a long non-coding RNA of Triticum dicoccoides, 852 nucleotides long. RefSeq lists it as uncharacterized. The record is from RefSeq and is a predicted model, not a curated record. NCBI's taxonomy places the organism in Eukaryota, Viridiplantae, Streptophyta, Magnoliopsida, Poales, Poaceae. The transcript has 3 exons.
CCGACAUCCUCCUCCAAACGCGACCACGAGUCACCCUCCCCCUCGCCCAUCUCCCUCCCGCUUGUGGACAGUAGCGGCGGUCGAGAUCCGCAUCCCUCCCCAAUCCUCAUCUCCGGCAACUACAGUAGCUCGCCUAAGGCAAGCAAAUGGGUGCUACUCAUCCCCUUCCCCUCUCAGGCCCUUGGAGCGGCUUGUCGGCGUGAUCCUUACCUCUGCCCCCUCUCAAGAUCCUAGAUCGCUGGCGGCAAGCUGGUGGUGGGCUCCUCCUUCGCCUCUCACGCCCAGGAUCAAGUAGUGGUGCUCGUUGAAGUCUUUCGCCUUGCAUACUGGAAUCCAAAUCGAAUGAAAAGCAUGGUGAAUUGAGGGAGCAAAGAGCAGCAUCAAUGCUACACUUUGAAGCUUAAUCAUGGUGAAAGCCUCAAAGAUGGGUGAUGCUCUGACACCAGAAGCAUCUUGAGUACAUAUGAACAGAAGAAGUGUACGACUGCAAGGGCGAAACUCAUUUGCGUGCGAGAUAAUUUUAGUUCCUUUGUUGAGCGUACACCAACACAGACUUGUGCUGAACUGAAUCAUAUUCGUUUGGUGUUAUAUCUCCCUGCAAAUGAAGCUUGAUGAGAGACAAGCAUUCGAACCGGAGGCAAACGUCAACUGAACAAUAUUAUGUCAUGUACAAUCAAGAUAGCAAAUGCUCGCUGAGCGGUUGAUCAUUUUAGUACUUAAUAUUUGGUUUUGCUGGUCAUGUAAUAAAAAUAAUCAUCUCAUGUUAUGGAUCACUUCACAUGCAUGUAUGUGGAUCAAAGUCCACCCAGAAAUGGAAUACCUUGCUCACAAACAUUUUCAGCAGCCUAUUCA